CAGUCGCCGCGGGAAUACGAAGGGUGCAAGCGUUAAUCGGAAUUACUGGGCGUAAAGCGUGCGUAGGCGGUGAGUUAAGUCUGCUGUGAAAUCCCCGGGCUCAACCUGGGAAUGGCAGUGGAUACUGGCUCGCUAGAGUGUGUCAGAGGAUGGUGGAAUUCCCGGUGUAGCGGUGAAAUGCGUAGAGAUCGGGAGGAACAUCAGUGGCAAAGGCGGCCAUCUGGGACAACACUGACGCUGAGGCACGAAAGCGUGGGGAGCAAACAGGAUUAGAUACCCCUGUAGUCCCUGUCUCUUAUAC
Molecule: ribosomal RNA, 301 nt
Filed under: uncultured bacterium
Lineage: Bacteria
Description: partial 16S ribosomal RNA
Rfam family: Bacterial small subunit ribosomal RNA
Source: RNAcentral